RNAcentral lists this transfer RNA (76 nucleotides) under Methanomassiliicoccales archaeon. RNAcentral describes it as "tRNA-Val". It matches the Rfam family "tRNA". From Rfam's summary of the family: Transfer RNA (tRNA) molecules are approximately 80 nucleotides in length. Their secondary structure includes four short double-helical elements and three loops (D, anti-codon, and T loops). Lineage: Archaea; Methanobacteriati; Thermoplasmatota; Thermoplasmata; Methanomassiliicoccales. RNAcentral also lists the same sequence under 3 other names. The record is from RNAcentral.
GGGCUCAUGGUCUAGCGGUUAUGACGUCUGCUUCACACGCAGGAGGUCGCCGGUUCGAAUCCGGCUGAGCCCACCA